This 458-nucleotide ribosomal RNA is filed under the name uncultured bacterium. RNAcentral's name for it is "partial 16S ribosomal RNA". It matches the Rfam family "Bacterial small subunit ribosomal RNA", at positions 338 to 795 of the family's 1533-position model. The record is from RNAcentral.
CCUACGGGAGGCAGCAGUGAGGAAUAUUGGUCAAUGGGCGAGAGCCUGAACCAGCCAAGUCGCGUGAGGGAGUACUGCCCUAUGGGUUGUAAACCUCUUUUGUCGGGGAGCAAAAGCCGGACGUGUCCGGCUGUGAGAGUACCCGAAGAAAAAGCAUCGGCUAACUCCGUGCCAGCAGCCGCGGUAAUACGGAGUAUGCGAGUGGUAUCCGGAUUGAUUGGGUUUAAAGGGUGCGCAGGCGGAUGUUUAAGUCAGCGGUAAAAACGUGGGGCUCAACCCCGUCCAGCCGUGGAAACUGGGGAUCUAGAGUGUGCGAGAGGUAUGCGGAAUGCGUGGUGUAGCGGUGAAAUGCAUAGAUAUCACGCAGAACCCCGAUUGCGAAGGCAGCAUACCGGUGCACAACUGACGCUCAGGCACGAAAGCGUGGGUAUCGAACAGGAUUAGAUACCCCAGUAGUC